RNAcentral lists this long non-coding RNA (583 nucleotides) under Homo sapiens (human). Lineage: Eukaryota; Metazoa; Chordata; Mammalia; Primates; Hominidae. The record is from RNAcentral.
GCGUUUGGGUGAAGACGGAGGCGGGUUCUGGACAGACGUACGCUGUCAGGGAGUGUUUACUUUGCCUCCACUUCUGUUCCUCCCCGCCCUGGUGCUGCUCCGGGUCACAUACUCGUCCUGAGCCGGCUUCAGCCUCUCCGCGCAGAAGUGUCCCGGAGCCAUGGCCGAGUACUCUUAUGCGAAGUCUACCAAGCUUGUGCUCAAGGGAACCAAGACGAAGAGGUGGGUCCUGCACCUCCGGCGGGAGCCUCCUCAGUUCUUUUCGGACGCACUCCACCCCCCUCGAAUCCGGUGGAAGCCGUGGCGCGGAGAGCCGGCUUUGUGGCCUCCCAGGCUUCGCCCUGGCCCCUGUCCGGGCUGGACGGAGGCCGGACCGCAGUUCCUGGCGCCUGUGCAGAGAGGGGCAGCCUCCCGCACUGACGACCCUGGAAACAGGAUAGACGGGCGGGUGACCCGUGGCCCCGUACCCACGAGUUUCAGUCCUCUGAGGCAUCUCUGCAGGCCUCUGCCUGUAAGAAGAAAAAGAGCAAAGAGAAGAAGAGAAAAAGAGAAGAAGAUGAAGAAACCCAGUUUGAUAUGUUGG